UCGCUAUUCCGAUCGAGCUGCUCUGCCACUCACGACACCCUGGCCCAGAAUCAGGUCGUUUACGAGCCAUUUAGCACCGGGUUCAACACAAACUUGCGGUGCGAGAUCGGAGAGGGUGCAGUGCUUU
Colossoma macropomum (tambaqui) is the source of this 127-nucleotide long non-coding RNA. RefSeq lists it as uncharacterized. The record is from RefSeq and is a predicted model, not a curated record. NCBI's taxonomy places the organism in Eukaryota, Metazoa, Chordata, Actinopteri, Characiformes, Serrasalmidae. The transcript has 3 exons.